UACCAGCACCCCGAGUGGUCGGGACGAUUAUUGGGCCUAAAGCAUCCGUAGCCGGUUCUACAAGUCUUCCGUUAAAUCCACCUGCUUAACAGAUGGGCUGCGGAGGAUACUAUAGAGCUAGGAGGCGGGAGAGGCAAGCGGUACUUAGUGGGUAGGGGUAAAAUCCGUUGAUCCAUUGGAGACCACCAGUGGCGAAGGCGGCUUGCCAGAACGCACUCGACGGUGAGGGAUGAAAGCUGGGGGAGCAAACCGG
This 253-nucleotide ribosomal RNA is filed under the name uncultured bacterium. RNAcentral describes it as "partial 16S ribosomal RNA". It matches the Rfam family "Archaeal small subunit ribosomal RNA", at positions 474 to 727 of the family's 1478-position model. The record is from RNAcentral.